GCUUAACCUACCCUAAGUGUUCCAGACUCUUCCUGUUCCAAAAAGCCUGAGACUUGGAAUUCUAAAAAAAAGUGUGUUGUCGUGGCCGUACCUGCCGGUUUUUGGACUGCCUCCGAGGUCCUAACACAUUACAAAAGGUCCGAACAAAUCCGAACGAGGUCCUAACCUGCUCCUAACCAGGUCCGAACAUAUUCCUUCAGAGAUCAAAGAGUUUCGAAUGAGAUCCGACCACAGUUCCGAACAGUAUAGGUCACGUGACACGGGAGGGGGCGGGAAUAUACGAUGAACACCGCGUUAGAGUGGCAGCCAUUUUUUCCACCGAUUACGGGAGAUAAAACAUCGGUAGAAAGAUGAAGGAAGCAAAGCCUGAUUCCUAUUGGAGGGAUGUAUGCCUUAAGUAUGCUCGGGGCCAAUUCCAUUUUACCACAGGCAAACGGCCAGGGGCCACAAAAUGGAAAAAGGCCUUAGAAAAAAUAGAUGCUUGCCCGCUGCAGAAGCAAAUGAACACCAAGGAUCUGUUUGGGAGAAGCCUUAAGUGCUCCUGUGGGUUCCACAAGGUAGGUGAAAUUAUUUACUAAUUGAUUGUUUGCUGGUUUGUUUGUUUGUUUUUUCCUCUGGUGGGCUUCAGUGAUUUUGCAGUAAUGCCUCUGAUGUUUUCAAAGCCUGUUUGCUUUUUAUUGAUUUUCUUUUAACAUGUCAGAAUAAACACUAUUCAAUACUAUCAUUCUAUUUUGUGGAUUUAUUUAUUGAACAAUAUGUAUCUGUACCAUUCUGGAGAAAACUAGUAUAGUAGUGUAGGAUUCUUAGUUGCAUGUAGCAUAGCAUGGCCCUCUUUUUGGAACCCCCCCCCCCCCCCAGCCAGCAGAUCUGUCAUCAGGCGCUGCUGGGUCUAGUGACGCAGGAGUUAAGACGGACGAGGCAGGGAGCACGGAGGUAGGGAGAGGAGAGACAGAGGAGGCACAGAGGCAGCGAGAGGAGGCACAGAGGCAGCGAGAGGAGGAGAGACAGAGGCAGCGAGAGGAGGAGAGACAGAGGCAGCUAGAGGAGGAGACACAGAGGCAGCGAGAGGAGGAGAGACAGAGGCAGCGAGAGGAGGAGAGACAGAAGCAGCGAGAGGAGGAGACACAGAGGCAGCGAGAGGAGGAGACACAGAGGCAGGGGCAGUCAACGCAGAGGCAGGGAGAGGAGACGCAGAAGCAGGAGAGGGAGUGCA
Molecule: long non-coding RNA, 1213 nt
Organism: Gadus macrocephalus (Pacific cod)
Lineage: Eukaryota; Metazoa; Chordata; Actinopteri; Gadiformes; Gadidae
Exons: 2
Source: RefSeq, a predicted model, not a curated record